ACACCUUUUGAGAGAGACACACAUGAUUCGGAAAUUAUUAGAAUACUCUAUGUGCUUCACUUAUAUCUUUUGAGUUAUAUAGUUUUUGCUCUAGUACUUCACUUAUAUCUUUUAGAGCACGGUGGUGGUUUUGUUUUAUAGAAACUAUUAUUCUCUCAUGCUUAACUUAGAUUAUUUUGAGAGUCUUAAAUAGCAUGGUAAUUUGCUUAAAUAAUCCUAAUAUGCUAGGUAUUCAAGACUAGUAAAAACUUUCUUAUGAGUGUGUUGAAUACUAAGAGAAGUUUGAUGCUGGAUGAUUGUUUUGAGAUAUGGAGAUAGUGAUAUUAAAGUUGUGCUAGUUGAGUAGUUGUGAAUUUGAGAAAUACUUGUGUUGAAGUUUGCAAGUCCCGUAGCAUGCACGUAUGGUAAACGUUAUGUAACAAAUUUGAAACAUGAGGUGUUCUUUGAUUGUCCUCCUUAUGAGUGGCGGUCGGGGACGAGCGAUGGUCUUUUCCUACCAAUCUAUCCCCCUAGGAGCAUGCGCGUAGUGCUUGGUUUUUGAUGACUUCUAGAUUUUUGCAAUAAGUAUGUGAGUUCUUUAUGACUAAUGUUGAGUCCAUGGAUUAUAUGCACUCUCACCUUUCCACCAUCGCAAGCCUCUUCGGUACCGUGCACUUCCCUUUCUCACAUUGAGAGUUGGUGCAAACUUCGCCGGUGCAUCCAAACCCCGUGAUAUGAUACGCUCUUUCACACAUAAACCUCCUUAUAUCUUCCUCAAAACAUCCACCAUACCUACCUAUUAUGGCAUUUCCAUAGCCAUUCCGAGAUAUAUUGCCAUGCAACUUUCCACCGCUCCGUUUAUCAUGACACUUUCGUCAUUGUCAUAUCGCUUUGCAUGAUCAUGUAGUUGACAUAGUACUUGUGGCAAAGCCACCAUUCAUAAUUCUUUCAUACAUGUCACUCGUGGUUCAUUGCAUAUCCCGAUACACCGCCGGAGGCAUUCAUAUAGAGUCAUACUUUGUUCUAGUAUCAAGUUGUAAUCUUUGAGUUGUAAAUAAAUAGAAGUGUGAUGAUCAUCAUUAAUAGAGCACUGUCCCAAUAAAAAAAGGCCAAAUAAAAAAAGGAAGGCCCAAAAAAAGGGACAAUACUACUAUCCUUUUUCCACACUUGUGCUUCAAAGUAGCACCACGAUCUUCAUGAUAGAGAGUCUCUUGUUUUGUCACUUUCAUAUACUAGUGGGAAAUUUUCAUUAUAGAACUUGGCUUGUAUAUUCCAACAAUGGGCCUCCUCAAGUGCCCUAGGUCUUCGUGAGCAAGCAAGUUGGAUGCACACCCACUUAGUUUCUUUUGUUGAGCUUUCAUAUAUUUAUAGCAGUAGUGCAUCCGUUGCAUGGCAAUCCCUACUCCUUGCAUUAACAUCAAUCGAUGGGCAUCUCCAUAGCUCAUUGAUUAGCCUCGUUGAUGUGAGACUUUCUCCUUUUUGUCUUCUCCACAUAACCCCCAUCAUUAUAUUCUAUUCCACCCAUAGUGUUAUAUCCAUGGCUCACGCUCAUGUAUUGCGUGAAAGUUGAAAAAGUUUGAGAUUACUAAAGUAUGAAACAAUUGCUUGGCUUGUCAUCGGGGUUGUGCAUGAUGAGAGCAUUCUUGUGUGACGAAAAUGGAGCAUGACUAAACUAUAUGAUUUUGUAGGGAUGAACUUUCUUUGGCCAUGUUAUUUUGAGAGGACAUAAUUGCUUAGUUAGUAUGCUUGAAGUAUUAUUAUUUUUAUGUCAAUAUUGAACUUUCAUCUUGAAUCUUUUCGGAUCUGAAUAUUCAUGCCACAAUUAAGAAGAAUUACAUUGAAAUUAUGCCAAGUAGCAUUCCACAUCAAAAAUUCUGUCUUUAUCAUUUACCUACUCGAGGACGAGCAGGAAUUAAGCUUGGGGAUGCUUGAUACGUCUCCAACGUAUCUAUAAUUUUUUAUUGCUCCAUGCUAUAUUAUAUUCUGUUUUGGACAUUUUUGGGCUUUAUUAUACACUUUUAUAUUAUUUUUGGGACUAACCUAUUAACCGGAGACCCAGCCCAGAAUUGUUGUCUUUUGCCUAUUUCAGAGUUUCGCAGAAAAAGAAUAUCAAACGGAGUCCAAACGGAACGAAACCUUCGGGAACGUGAUUUUCGGAACGAACAUGAUCCAGAGGACUUGGACCCUACGUCAAGACAUCAACCAGGAAGCCACGAGGUAGGGGGCGCGCCUACCCCCCCCCCCCGGCGCGCCCUCCACCCUCGUGGGCCCCACGUUGCUCCACCGACGUACUUCUCCCUCAUAUAUAUACCUACGUACCCCCAAACUACCAGAUACGGAGCCAAAAACCUAAUUCCACCGCCGCAACCUUUUGUACCCGUGAGAUCCCAUCUUGGGGCCUGUACCGGAGCUCCGUUGGAGGGGGCAUCAAUCACGGAGGGCUUCUACAUCAACACCAUAGCCUCUCCGAUGAAGUGUGAGUAGUUUACCUCAGACCUUCGGGUCCAUAGUUAUUAGCUAGAUGGCUUCUUCUCUCUUUUUGGAUCUCAAUACAAUGUUCUCCCCCUCUCUCGUGGAGAUCUAUUCGAUGUAAUCUUCUUUUGCGGUGUGUUUGUUGAGACCGAUGAAUUGUGGGUUUAUGAUCAAGUUUAUCUAUGAACAAUAUUUGAAUCUUAUCUGAAUUCUUUUAUGUAUGAUUGGUUAUCUUUGCAAGUCUCUUCGAAUUAUAAGUUUGGUUUGGCCUACUAGAUUGAUCUUUCUUGCAAAUGGAGAAGUGCUUAGCUUUGGGUUCAAACUUGCGGUGUCCUUUCCCAGUGACAGUAGGGGCAGCAAGGCACGUAUUGUAUUGUUGCCAUCGAGGAUAACAAGAUGGGGUUUAUAUCAUAUUGCAUGAGUUUAUCCCUCUACAUCAUGCCAUCUUGCUUAAAGCGUUACUCUGUUCUUAUGAACUUAAUACUCUAGAUGCAUGCUGGAUAGCGGUCGAUGUGUGGAGUAAUAGUAGUAGAUGCAGGCAGGAGUCGGUCUACUUGUCUCAGACGUGAUGCCUAUAUACAUGAUCAUACCUAGAUAUUCUCAUAACUAUGCUCAAUUCUGUCAAUUGCUCAACAGUAAUUUGUUCACCCACCGUAAAUACUUAUGCUCUUGAGAGAAGUCACUAGUGAAACCUAUGGCCCCCGGGUCUAUUUUCCAUCAUAUUAAUCUCCCAUCAACAAGUUAUUUCCGUUGCCUUUUUAUUUUGCUUCUAUUUUACUUUGCAUCUUUAUCAUAAAAUACCAAAAAUAUUAUCUUAUCAUAUCUAUCAGAUCUCACUCUCGUAAGUGACCGUGAAGGGAUUGACAACCCCUUAUCGCGUUGGUUGCGAGGAUUUAUUUGUUUGUGUAGGUGCGAGGGACCCGUGCGUGGCCUCCUACUGGAUUGAUACCUUGGUUCUCAAAAACUGAGGGGAAAUACUUACGCUACUUUGCUGCAUCACCCUUUCCUCUUCAAGGGAAAACCAACGCAGUGCUCAAGAGGUAGCAAGAAGGAUUCCUGGCGCUGUUGCCGGGGAGUCUAUGCAAAAGUCAACAUACCAAGUACCCAUCACAAACCCUUAUCUCCCGCAUUACAUUAUUUGCCAUUUGCCUCUCGUUUUCCUCUCCCCCACUUCACCCUUGCCGUUUUAUUCGCCCCCUCUCUUUUCCCUUUUUGUCUCCCUCUUCCUUUUUGCUCCGCGCACUUUCUGCCGUUAUGUCUGAAAUUGGGGAAACUAUUGUCGAUAUGGACAAUAAUAAUAUGGAAAAUUCUGAUGCUCCGGCUAAAGAACCCCUUAUCUUGCAUACAAAAAAAUUCCGAAUUGGUAGUGGUAAUAUUAUUGGAAAAGGGGUCAUUCAAGAUUUCUUUACUUGUGCCGGUGCUUUGCCCUCUAUGGGUAGUUCUAUUCUUCAUAGAACUAGUAGUCUUGCGGACGCUAUCGCCAUGCUUGUAGUUGAGCUUGAAAGACAAUUUAUGCACAUGCAUCCUUGCAUACAGAGGAUUUUACUAGAAUUUUCUAACAUUGAGCAUUCUUCUGUUAAGCGUGCCGCUACUAUAUUUUUGGCUCAUGAGUUCAGAUUUAUUAUAAAAGAGGCCAAAGAAAUCUUUGCGCAUUAUAGGGUGGACGCUGGACGUCCUCCCAUAGAAACUAUCUUAUUUGAUCAAGAGGAAAUAAUGCGUUUUCAAUCUCAAGAUUAUGUUGCUUUUAAUGAAAACCUUAGAAAAAAGGUUCCUACCAAUAUUCUAGUUGAUAGAAUUUCUAAACUUGAUUAUGAUUUUGCUAUUCGAAAUAAUGAGCUAGGAUAUUCUCUGGAAUAUAGGCUCACCAAAUUCUGUCAAAAGAACGCCUAUAAUGAUGAAUUGGUUGUGCAAUAUGAAGGGCCGAAGGAGGAACCUAUACCUCCUAAGGUUGAUCUUGGGGAUUUUUGUCCCAUUAAAUUUAGCCCUUUUGAUUACUUUUGCUUGCCACAAAGAAAGCUUGCUGCCGAACGUAGAGAGUAUGAAAUGAGUUUUAAUGAUCUAUCUUAUUAUUAUGGCAGUACCUAGAUCUAUCCUUGCUUUUAUGCCUAGCUAGGGGCGUUAAACGAUAGCGCUUGUUGGGAGGCAACCCAAUUUUAUUUUUAGUUUUUUGCUUUUUGCUUCUGUUUAGGAAUAAAUCUUUGAUCUAGCCUCUGGUUAGACUUGUUUUUAUGUUUUAAUUAGUGUUUGUGCCAAGUUAAACCUAUAGGAUCUUCUUGGAUGAUAGUUAUUUGAUCUUGCUGAAAAUUCCAGAAACUUUCUAUUCACGAAAAUAAUUGUUAAAAAUCACCAGAACGUGAUAAAAUAUUGAUUCCAAUUGAUGCUGAUCAAUAAACAAAUUGUCUAGGUCUUCCUAUUUUGGCUGAAUUUUUUGAGUUCCAGAAGUUUGUGUUAGUUACAGAUUACUACAGACUGUUCUGUUUUUGACAGAUUCUGUUUUUCGUGUGUUGUUUGCUCAUUUUGAUGAUUCUAUGGCUAGUAAAAGAGCUUAUAAACCAUAGAUAAGUUCGAAUACAGUAGGUUUAACACCAAUAUAAAUAAAGAAUGAGUUCAUUACAGUACCUUGAAGUGGUGUUUUGUUUUCUUUCGCUAACGGAGCUCACGAGAUUUUCUGUUAAGUUUUGUGUCGUGAAGUUUUCAAGUUUUGGGUGAAAGAUUUGAUGGAUUAUGGAACAAGGAGUGGCAAGAGCCUAAGCUUGGGGAUGCCCAUGGCACCCCCAAGAUAAUCUAAGGACACCUAAAAGCCAAAGCUUGGGGAUGCCCCGGAAGGCAUCCCCUCUUUCGUCUACUUCCAUCGGUAAUUUUACUUGGAGCUAUAUUUUUAUUCACCACAUGAUAUGUGUUUUGCUUGGAGCGUCUUGUAUGAUUUGAGUCUUUGCUUUUUAGUUUACCACAAUCAUCCUUGCUGUACACACCUUUUGAGAGAGACACACAUGAUUCGGAAAUUAUUAGAAUACUCUAUGUGCUUCACUUAUAUCUUUUGAGUUAUAUAGUUUUUUCUCUAGUACUUCACUUAUAUCUUUUAGAGCACGGUGGUGGUUUUGUUUUAUAGAAACUAUUAUUCUCUCAUGCUUAACUUAGAUUAUUUUGAGAGUCUUAAAUAGCAUGGUAAUUUGCUUAAAUAAUCCUAAUAUGCUAGGUAUUCAAGACUAGUAAAAACUUUCUUAUGAGUGUGUUGAAUACUAAGAGAAGUUUGAUGCUGGAUGAUUGUUUUGAGAUAUGGAGAUAGUGAUAUUAAAGUUGUGCUAGUUGAGUAGUUGUGAAUUUGAGAAAUACUUGUUUUGAAGUUUGCAAGUCCCGUAGCAUGCACGUAUGGUAAACGUUAUGUAACAAAUUUGAAAUAUGAGGUGUUCUUUGAUUGUCCUCCUUAUGAGUGGCGGUCGGGGACGAGCGAUGGUCUUUUCCUACCAAUCUAUCCCCCUAGGAG
Molecule: long non-coding RNA, 5935 nt
Filed under: Triticum aestivum (bread wheat)
Lineage: Eukaryota; Viridiplantae; Streptophyta; Magnoliopsida; Poales; Poaceae
Description: long non-coding RNA (TAES_LNC024104)
Source: RNAcentral